Molecule: ribosomal RNA, 492 nt
Filed under: uncultured bacterium
Lineage: Bacteria
Description: partial 16S ribosomal RNA
Rfam family: Bacterial small subunit ribosomal RNA
Source: RNAcentral
AGUGAACGCUGGCGGUAGGCCUAACACAUGCAAGUCGAACGGCAGCACAGUAAGAGCUUGCUCUUACGGGUGGCGAGUGGCGGACGGGUGAGGAAUACAUCGUAAUCUACUUUUUCGUGGGGGAUAACGUAGGGAGACUUACGCUAAUACAGCAUACGACCUACGGGUGAAAGCAUGGGAUCUUCGGACCUUGCGCGGUUGGAUGAGCCGAUGUCGGAUUAGCUAGUUGGCUGGUUAAAGGCCCACCAAGGCGACGAUCCGUAGCUGGCCUGAGAGGAUGAUAAGCCACACUGGAACUGAGACAGGCUCCAGACUCCUACGGGAGGCAGCAGUGGGGAAUAUUGGACAAUGGGGGGAAGUCUGAUCCAGCCAUCCCGCGUGGGUGAAGAAGGCCUUCCGGUCGUAAAGCCCUUUUGUUGGGAAAGAAACGCAGCAGCUUAAUACCCCGCUGUUCUGACGGUACCCAAAGAAUAAGCACCGGCUAACUUCGUG